CGCAUCUGUGCAUGCAGCAUAUCAAUAAGCGGAGGAAAAGAAACUAACAAGGAUUCCCUUAGUAACGGCGAGUGAAGCGGGAAGAGCUCAAAUUUGAAAUCUUCAAGGUUUUACCUUGACGAAUUGUAGUUUAAAGAAGUGUUUUCUGUUGAAGUUUUGGUAAAAGUUCUUUGGAAUAGGACAUCAUAGAGGGUGAGAAUCUCGUAUUUGACCAUUAUUUUCAGCUGUGUGAUACACUUUCAAAGAGUCGGAUUGUUUGGGAAUGCAGUCCAAAAUGGGUGGUAAAUUUCAUCUAAAGCUAAAUAUUGGCGAGAGACCGAUAGCGAACAAGUACCGUGAGGGAAAGAUGAAAAGAACUUUGAAAAGAGAGUUAAACAGUACGUGAAAUUGUCAAAAGGGAAGCGUUUGACACCAGUGUUGUUUUCUCGAAAAUCAAUUAAAAAGAGUUAGAUUUUGUUGUGUAUUGACCUUAACAGCUUGCAUUUCAAUUUUCUUGCUUUUUUUAAUGCACUUUUCGUUUAACAAGUCAACAUCAGUUUCUUUUGUUGUAAAAAGGUCAUUGGAAGGUGGCUUUCUUUCGGAGAAAGUGUUUAUAGCCUUUGACUCUGCAAUCGGAGAGACUGAGGUCUGCAGCGUAGAUCCUUCGGGGUUAGAUACAUUUGUGCUAAGUUAUAGCUUUUUAUAGACAACUUGUUGACUAUGAUUAGUCUUGUAGCUUACUCGCUUAUGCUAUUUUACCUACGCUUAGGAUGUUGAUGUGAUACUGCGAGCA
RNAcentral lists this ribosomal RNA (772 nucleotides) under uncultured Neocallimastigales. RNAcentral describes it as "partial large subunit ribosomal RNA". It matches the Rfam family "Eukaryotic large subunit ribosomal RNA", at positions 26 to 629 of the family's 3401-position model. Lineage: Eukaryota; Fungi; Neocallimastigomycota; Neocallimastigomycetes; Neocallimastigales. The record is from RNAcentral.